This 253-nucleotide ribosomal RNA is filed under the name uncultured bacterium. Its description in RNAcentral is "partial 16S ribosomal RNA". It matches the Rfam family "Bacterial small subunit ribosomal RNA", at positions 524 to 776 of the family's 1533-position model. The record is from RNAcentral.
UACGUAGGGGGCAAGCGUUGUCCGGAAUUAUUGGGCGUAAAGAGCGUGUAGGCGGCUCGGUAAGUCCGCUGUGAAAGUCCAGGGCUCAACCCUGGAAUGCCGGUGGAAACUGUCGAGCUAGAGUCCGGAAGAGGCGAGUGGAAUUCCUGGUGUAGCGGUGAAAUGCGCAGAUAUCAGGAGGAACACCAAUGGCGAAGGCAGCUCGCUGGGACGGUACUGACGCUGAGACGCGAAAGCGUGGGGAGCAAACAGG